RNAcentral lists this ribosomal RNA (621 nucleotides) under Rhizoctonia solani. Its description in RNAcentral is "eukaryotic LSU rRNA". The stretch from base 206 to 359 matches the Rfam family "5.8S ribosomal RNA". The record is from RNAcentral. Lineage: Eukaryota; Fungi; Basidiomycota; Agaricomycetes; Cantharellales; Ceratobasidiaceae.
UUGGUUGUAGCUGGCUUGAUUGAUCUUUAAAAGAUUUCAGGCAUGUGCACACCUUUUUUUUCAUCCAUACACCCCCUGUGCACUUGUGAGACAGAAUUUGGAAGGGGGGAACCUUUUAUUGGGAUUUUUUCCUGUCUGUUUACUUAAUUCACCCAAACUCGAUUUAUUUUAAAAGGAAUGUAAUUGAUGUAACCCAUUUAAUAUUAAGUUUCAACAACGGUUUUUUUGGUUUUGGCAUCGAUGAAGAACGCAGGGAAAUGCGAUAAGUAAUGUGAAUUGCAGAAUUCAGUGAUUCAUGGAUUCUUUGAACGCCCCUUGCGUUCCUUGGUAUUCCUUGGAGCAUGCCUGUUUGAGUUUCAUGAAUUUUUCAAAGUAAUUCUUUUGUUAAUUCAAUUGGUUUUUACUUUGUUCUGGGAGGUCUUUGCAGCUUCACCCCUGUUCUUCUUUGUUCAUUAGCUGGAUUUCAGUGUUAUGCUUGGUUCCAUUGGGCGUGAUAAGUUAUCUACCGUUGAGGCCACGGUAAAAGGUGGCCAAGGUAAAUGCAGAUGAACCGUUUUUAAUAGUCCAUUGACUUGGACAAAAAUUUAUGAUCUGAUCUCAAAUCAGGUAGAACUACCCGCU